GAUGAAGAACGCAGCGAAAUGCGAUACGUAGUGUGAAUUGCAGAAUUCAGUGAAUCAUCGAAUCUUUGAACGCACAUUGCACCUCUCGGUAUUCCGGGAGGUAUGCCUGUUCGAGCGUCAUUUGUACCCUCAAGCUCUGCUUGGUGUUGGGUGUUUGUUCCGCCUCUGUGUGUGAACUCGCCUCAAAACAAUUAGCAGCCGGCGUACUUGUUUCGGAGCGCAGCACAUUUUGCGAUCCAGAUCAACGUACAGCGGCAUCCAAGAAGCCUUAUUUAACGCUCUUGACCGCGGAUCAGGUAGGGAUACCCGCUGAACUUAAGCAUAUCAAUAAGCGGAGGA
This 339-nucleotide unclassified non-coding RNA is filed under the name soil metagenome. RNAcentral's name for it is "partial contains 5.8S ribosomal RNA, internal transcribed spacer 2, and large subunit ribosomal RNA". The stretch from base 1 to 120 matches the Rfam family "5.8S ribosomal RNA", at positions 35 to 154 of the family's 154-position model. The record is from RNAcentral.